Molecule: transfer RNA, 65 nt
Filed under: Dipodomys ordii (Ord's kangaroo rat)
Lineage: Eukaryota; Metazoa; Chordata; Mammalia; Rodentia; Heteromyidae
Rfam family: tRNA
About the family: Transfer RNA (tRNA) molecules are approximately 80 nucleotides in length. Their secondary structure includes four short double-helical elements and three loops (D, anti-codon, and T loops).
Source: Rfam by way of RNAcentral
GGUGACUCAGUGGUAGAGCACUUGCCUUGCAUGCAUGAGGCCCUGGGUUUGAUUCCCCAGCACCA